This 395-nucleotide RNase P RNA is filed under the name Planctomycetia bacterium. RNAcentral's name for it is "RNase P RNA component class A". It matches the Rfam family "Bacterial RNase P class A". Rfam says of the family: Ribonuclease P (RNase P) is a ubiquitous endoribonuclease, found in archaea, bacteria and eukarya as well as chloroplasts and mitochondria. Its best characterised activity is the generation of mature 5'-ends of tRNAs by cleaving the 5'-leader elements of precursor-tRNAs. The record is from RNAcentral. Lineage: Bacteria; Pseudomonadati; Planctomycetota; Planctomycetia.
UCGGUUGCACGGACGGUCGCAUGUCAUGUCUAACCGCCAUCAGGCACGGCAUGAGGAAAGUCCGGACUCCACAGGAAUCAACGACGGGUAACGCCCGCCGGUCGUAAGACCAGGGAUAGCGCAACAGAAAGUAUACCGCCUUCUUUGUAAGGCAAGGGUGAAAUGGCGAGGUAAGAGCUCACCGCGUUUCAGGCAACUGAAACGGCAUUGCAAGCCCCGUUGGGAGCAAGGUUAAAUCGCGUCGGCUCGCUUCGGCGAGCAAGGUUUUCCGUCUUGAAUGACGCAGGUGAACCGCUAGAGCGUUAGGGUAACUUUACGCCGAGAUAAAUGACCGUCGGCGCUUCUCUUUCGAGUGAAUGCGCGCACAGAAUCCGGCUUAUAGUGCAACCGACUUC